RNAcentral lists this ribosomal RNA (401 nucleotides) under uncultured bacterium. RNAcentral's name for it is "bacterial SSU rRNA". It matches the Rfam family "Bacterial small subunit ribosomal RNA", at positions 975 to 1375 of the family's 1533-position model. The record is from RNAcentral.
CUGGGCUUGACAUGCAUCUGCAUGCCGGUUGAAAGACCGGUCGCCUUCGAGGGUGAUGCACAGGUGCUGCAUGGCCGUCGUCAGCUCGUGUCGUGAGAUGUUGGGUUAAGUCCCGCAACGAGCGCAACCCCUGUGACUAGUUGCCAGCGCGUAAUGGCGGGGACUCUAGUCAGACUGCCCAGAUCAACUGGGAGGAAGGUGGGGACGACGUCAGGUCAGUAUGGCCCUUACGCCCAGGGCUGCACACGUACUACAAUGCCCAGCACAGUGAGAACCGAUACCGCGAGGUGGAGGAAAUCUGCAAAACUGGGCCCAGUUCGGAUUGGAGGCUGCAACUCGCCUCCAUGAAGCCGGAAUCGCUAGUAAUGGCACAUCAGCAACGGUGCCGUGAAUACGUUCCC